UGGGGGAUAUUGCACAAUGGGCGAAAGCCUGAUGCAGCGACGCCGCGUGGGGGAUGAAGGCCUUCGGGUUGUAAACUUCUUUUGCUCGGAACAAGGCAUGCCUUUGGGGUGUGUUGAGUGUAGGGGUUGAUUAGCGCCGGCUAACUACGUGCCAGCAGCCGCGGUAAUACGUAGGGCGCGAGCGUUGUCCGGAAUUAUUGGGCGUAAAGGGCUUGUAGGUGGCUGGUUGCGUCUGUCGUGAAAGCUCAUGGCUUAACUGUGGGUUUGCGGUGGGUACGGGCUGGCUUGAGUGCAGUAGGGGAGGCUGGAAUUCCUGGUGUAGCGGUGGAAUGCGCAGAUAUCAGGAGGAAUACCGGUGGCGAAGGCGGGUCUCUGGGCUGUUACUGACGCUGAGGAGCGAAAGCGUGGGGAGCGAACAGG
This 420-nucleotide ribosomal RNA is filed under the name Fusobacteriota bacterium. RNAcentral's name for it is "Fusobacteria bacterium partial 16S ribosomal RNA". It matches the Rfam family "Bacterial small subunit ribosomal RNA", at positions 355 to 776 of the family's 1533-position model. The record is from RNAcentral. Lineage: Bacteria; Fusobacteriati; Fusobacteriota.